GACGAACGCUGGCGGCGUGCCUAAUACAUGCAAGUCGAACGAGAGCGACCGGUGCUUGCACUGGUCAAUCUAGUGGCGAACGGGUGAGUAACACGUGGGUAACCUGCCCAUCAGAGGGGGAUAACAUCCGGAAACGGAUGCUAAGACCGCAUAGGUCUUCGAGCCGCAUGGCUUGAGGAGGAAAAGAGGCGCAAGCUUCUGCUGAUGGAUGGACCCGCGGUGCAUUAGCUAGUUGGUGAGGUAACGGCUCACCAAGGCCGUGAUGCAUAGCCGACCUGAGAGGGUGAUCGGCCACAUUGGGACUGAGACACGGCCCAAACUCCUACGGGAGGCAGCAGUAGGGAAUCUUCCGCAAUGGACGCAAGUCUGACGGAGCAACGCCGCGUGAGUGAAGAAGGUUUUCGGAUCGUAAAACUCUGUUGUUAGAGAAGAACAAGUGCUAGAGUAACUGUUAGCGCCUUGACGGUAUCUAACCAGAAAGCCACGGCUAACUACGUG
RNAcentral lists this ribosomal RNA (498 nucleotides) under uncultured bacterium. RNAcentral describes it as "partial 16S ribosomal RNA". It matches the Rfam family "Bacterial small subunit ribosomal RNA", at positions 28 to 507 of the family's 1533-position model. The record is from RNAcentral.